UACGUAGGGGGCAAGCGUUGUCCGGAUUUAUUGGGCGUAAAGAGCUCGUAGGUGGCGUGUCGCGUCUGCCGUGAAAGCCCAUGGCUUAACUGUGGGUCUGCGGUGGAUACGGGCAGGCUGGAGGCUGGUAGGGGCAAGCGGAAUUCCUGGUGUAGCGGUGAAAUGCGCAGAUAUCAGGAGGAACACCGGUGGCGAAGGCGGCUUGCUGGGCCAGUUCUGACGCUGAGGAGCGAAAGCGUGGGGAGCGAACAGG
This 253-nucleotide ribosomal RNA is filed under the name uncultured bacterium. RNAcentral's name for it is "partial 16S ribosomal RNA". It matches the Rfam family "Bacterial small subunit ribosomal RNA", at positions 524 to 776 of the family's 1533-position model. The record is from RNAcentral.